GAAUAUUGCACAAUGGGGGAAACCCUGAUGCAGCGACGCCGCGUGAGUGAAGAAGUACUUCGGUACGUAAAGCUCUAUCAGCAGGGAAGAAGAUGACGGUACCUGACUAAGAAGCCCCGGCUAACUACGUGCCAGCAGCCGCGGUAAUACGUAGGGGGCAAGCGUUAUCCGGAAUUACUGGGUGUAAAGGGAGCGUAGGUGGCGAAGCAAGUCAGAUGUGAAAGCCCGGGGCUCAACUCCGGGACUGCAUUUGAAACUGUUUUGCUAGAGUGCAGGAGAGGUAAGUGGAAUUCCUAGUGUAGCGGUGAAAUGCGUAGAUAUUAGGAGGAACACCAGUGGCGAAGGCGGCUUACUGGACUGUAACUGACACUGAGGCUCGAAAGCGUGGGGAGCAAACAG
RNAcentral lists this ribosomal RNA (399 nucleotides) under uncultured bacterium. RNAcentral's name for it is "partial 16S ribosomal RNA". It matches the Rfam family "Bacterial small subunit ribosomal RNA", at positions 359 to 775 of the family's 1533-position model. The record is from RNAcentral.